This 442-nucleotide unclassified non-coding RNA is filed under the name Urophyllum britannicum. Its description in RNAcentral is "partial external transcribed spacer". Lineage: Eukaryota; Viridiplantae; Streptophyta; Magnoliopsida; Gentianales; Rubiaceae. The record is from RNAcentral.
GCAGGAUCAACCAGGUAGCAUUCCUCACUGACACCGGCGUUGUAAGACGGCGCUAAAACUGCAAAGGUCCUAGCACGUCAGUACAACACCGGACGUCAUUCGUUUGUGCGAAUUAUGCCAGUUUUGGGCAUUAGAAAGUCAUCGAGACCCCGUACCCUCUAGGUAUUCCGCAUCCGAGAGCUCAAGCAAAAAUUCAUGGGCCGCAACAACACCACGACGAGUGAGUAGCACGGAACACAAAUAAUGCUUCGACGUUCACCCGAAGCCGCACCCUUCGAAGGGGCAACACAAGGCGAAUGAUGGGCAAAUUAACAAUCGAAUUCCAUUACAGUAGGUAUGCAACACAGGAAACUGAAACGUACGACCAAGGCUAAUGUUGCUCUUGGGCCGAACAAGUGAAGAAGAUUGUAUGGAAGGACGUCACUGCCCAAGCAGAGAUCCA